UCCCUGGUGGCUCAGCGGUAAAGAAUCUGCCUGCAAUGCAGGAGACACAGGUUUAAUCCCUGAUCCAGGAA
Ovis aries (sheep) is the source of this 71-nucleotide transfer RNA. It matches the Rfam family "tRNA". From Rfam's summary of the family: Transfer RNA (tRNA) molecules are approximately 80 nucleotides in length. Their secondary structure includes four short double-helical elements and three loops (D, anti-codon, and T loops). Further hydrogen bonds mediate the characteristic L-shaped molecular structure. tRNAs have two regions of fundamental functional importance: the anti-codon, which is responsible for specific mRNA codon recognition, and the 3' end, to which the tRNAs corresponding amino acid is attached (by aminoacyl-tRNA synthetases). tRNAs cope with the degeneracy of the genetic code in two manners: having more than one tRNA (with a specific anti-codon) for a particular amino acid; and 'wobble' base-pairing, i.e. permitting non-standard base-pairing at the 3rd anti-codon position. The record is from Rfam. NCBI's taxonomy places the organism in Eukaryota, Metazoa, Chordata, Mammalia, Artiodactyla, Bovidae.